This is a long non-coding RNA of Oncorhynchus tshawytscha (Chinook salmon), 1367 nucleotides long. The record is from Ensembl. Lineage: Eukaryota; Metazoa; Chordata; Actinopteri; Salmoniformes; Salmonidae.
CAGUAACUCACCAGUGUUCCGGCCAGAAACACGACUUUCCAAAAUUGGAUCCUUUGUUCAUGCCCUCCAAGGCAAUUUAUCUUAUCCCAUAGGCAUCUCCAAGACGCCGCCAGCACAGAAGAGGUAUUUGGAGUGGACUUCUAGUCCGACUCAGGAGGCGUUCACACGAUCUACCACUUCUGAGGAUACAGUGCAUUUGGAAAGUGCAUCCCGUUUCCAUUGCUCAUCCUACAACCUGCUCGCAGACACAGACGUCUUGCUCCCGGACAAGCUAAACACCUUUGCCCCCAUUGAGGAUAACACAGUGCCACCGACGUGGGCCGCUCCCGAGGACUGUGGGCUUUCAUUCUCCGAGGCCGACUCUGCUGUCCCCACUUGCUUCAAGAUGUCCACCAUUGUUCCUUUACCCAAGACAGCAAAGGUACAAUUGAAACCAGGAUUCAUCCGUGAAGAGCACACUUCUACAGCGUGCCAGUGGCCAUCGAAGGGGUCAGAUGAGGAAGGCUAGCUCAUUAUGCCAUUCUGUGUCAGCCUGUUUCCAGCUCAGUGCGGUCAUCUGAGGUUCAUCACAGCCAUCUCCACAGGAACGAGCCCAAUCUGCCCAAUCUGGACAAACUAUAAAUACGAAUCCACAGUUGUCUUUGGGUGCUUCGCCAAUCAAGAUGAGCGCUAGGCAGUGCUGUAGAAAGGGCUCAGGGCUAUAGUUAAAUAAGCCAGAGUUGGUAAGGGGAUGAAGGAAGCAUGUUAGCUGGGCUAAAUCUGACUUACUAGGCAGCUAAUGCCAUUGUGAACAGUGUUAAGUCCACUGUGUCUCUCUCGCCGCAUAACUGAGUUACAGGUAAGGUCAAGUUUAAGCUCCUCUACAGAGAUUUGCAGUAAUGUAUGGUAAUUCCAUUAUAGAGUGGAGGAGGGUUAUCCCUAUUAAAUAAUACUGAGCCAGACUUGGGGCACCGACGUUGUUACUCAAGGCUGACUGUACUGUCAUUAUCUGUGCUGGUCUAUUCUCUUCCUAAACUGUUACUCUACUUGUUUGAUUCACCAGGUUUUAAACCCAGGCCUCAAGAAACUGUUAGAGCUAAAGCCUCCACUCAACAAUGGUCAUGAACUUGUAAAAUGGCGUAAGAUGUGUAAGAUGGCACCGAUAGACAUGGCCGUCUUGUUUCUGGCUCUGAGGCAACUUUGCAGUAUUUUACAUUUUUUCAAUGUUAUUUCUCACGUUAUUGCAAGUAUUUCGCUACACCCGCAAUAACAUAUACUAAACAUCUGUAUGUGACCAAUAAAAUGUAUUUGAUUUUUAACUUUAGGGGAGAGCUAGCGUAAUAUUGGGCUGCAAACUCAAAUUGAAUAAAUGUCAACACUAUAUCUGA